RNAcentral lists this ribosomal RNA (253 nucleotides) under uncultured bacterium. Its description in RNAcentral is "partial 16S ribosomal RNA". It matches the Rfam family "Bacterial small subunit ribosomal RNA", at positions 524 to 776 of the family's 1533-position model. The record is from RNAcentral.
UACGAAGGGGGCUAGCGUUGUUCGGAAUUACUGGGCGUAAAGCGUGCGCAGGCGGCUUCUCAAGUCAGGGGUGAAAGCCCAGAGCUCAACUCUGGAAUUGCCUUUGAGACUGAGUGGCUUGAGUACGAGAGAGGUGAGUGGAAUUCCCAGUGUAGCGGUGAAAUGCGUAGAUAUCGGGAGGAACACCAGUGGCGAAGGCGAUCAUCUGGGGUUGUUCUGACGCUGAGGAGCGAAAGCUAGGGGAGCAAACGGG